AGGGACCUACCCAAGGUAGUCCAGCUUGCGCCGCGCCUAAUGGCCCCGUGAUAGUGUACACUCCCCACGGCAAUCCACUUCGGCACCCAAUCCCGCACGGGCGAGCAACUGUCGCGUAGGCCAACUCCGGAGUGCCGGCUUGUAGGGAGCUACCCUCACAAGCAUGUGCGAAUGAGCACGAUGGCAAGCAAGCAAAGUCUACAAUCCCACAUGUCUCAACUAUCACAAUUUAGCUCACAA
RNAcentral lists this long non-coding RNA (240 nucleotides) under Ananas comosus (pineapple). Its description in RNAcentral is "long non-coding RNA (ACOM_LNC038302)". Lineage: Eukaryota; Viridiplantae; Streptophyta; Magnoliopsida; Poales; Bromeliaceae. The record is from RNAcentral.